AACGCUAGCUACAGGCUUAACACAUGCAAGUCGAGGGGCAGCAUGAACUUAGCUUGCUAAGUUUGAUGGCGACCGGCGCACGGGUGAGUAACACGUAUCCAACCUGCCGAUGACUCGGGGAUAGCCUUUCGAAAGAAAGAUUAAUACCCGAUGGCAUAGUUCUUCCGCAUGGUGGAACUAUUAAAGAAUUUCGGUCAUCGAUGGGGAUGCGUUCCAUUAGGUUGUUGGCGGGGUAACGGCCCACCAAGCCUUCGAUGGAUAGGGGUUCUGAGAGGAAGGUCCCCCACAUUGGAACUGAGACACGGUCCAAACUCCUACGGGAGGCAGCAGUGAGGAAUAUUGGUCAAUGGACGAGAGUCUGAACCAGCCAAGUAGCGUGAAGGAUGACUGCCCUAUGGGUUGUAAACUUCUUUUAUACGGGAAUAAAGUGAGGCACGUGUGCCUUUUUGUAUGUACCGUAUGAAUAAGGAUCGGCUAACUCCGUGCCAGCAGCCGCGGUAAUACGGAGGAUCCGAGCGUUAUCCGGAUUUAUUGGGUUUAAAGGGAGCGUAGGCGGACGCUUAAGUCAGUUGUGAAAGUUUGCGGCUCAACCGUAAAAUUGCAGUUGAUACUGGGUGUCUUGAGUACGCACAAAGUGGGCGGAAUUCGUGGUGUAGCGGUGAAAUGCUUAGAUAUCACGAAGAACUCCGAUUG
Molecule: ribosomal RNA, 693 nt
Filed under: uncultured bacterium
Lineage: Bacteria
Description: bacterial SSU rRNA
Rfam family: Bacterial small subunit ribosomal RNA
Source: RNAcentral